RNAcentral lists this non-coding RNA (128 nucleotides) under Hyphomonadaceae bacterium. Its description in RNAcentral is "TPP sequence". It matches the Rfam family "TPP riboswitch aptamer (THI element)". Rfam says of the family: Vitamin B(1) in its active form thiamin pyrophosphate (TPP) is an essential coenzyme that is synthesised by coupling of pyrimidine and thiazole moieties in bacteria. Lineage: Bacteria; Pseudomonadati; Pseudomonadota; Alphaproteobacteria; Hyphomonadales; Hyphomonadaceae. The record is from RNAcentral.
GCCCACACACCGGGGAGCCCCACGAUGAGGGGCUGAGAGGCCAUAAACAGUCCAGAAGGAUUGUCGCGUGGCGACCCGUAGAACCUGCUCCGGAUCAUGCCGGCGAAGGGAGGGGACACUGUGACUUU